This 116-nucleotide ribosomal RNA is filed under the name Nanobdellota archaeon. The record is from RNAcentral. Lineage: Archaea; Nanobdellati; Nanobdellota.
UGAGACGGCCAUAGUAAGAUGGUCACACCCGAUCCCAUUCCGAACUCGGAUAGUUAAGCAUCUUACGUUCAUGCUGGUACUAGCCCACAAGCUGGGAACGCAUGAAGUCGUCUUAC